This 331-nucleotide ribosomal RNA is filed under the name uncultured bacterium. RNAcentral's name for it is "bacterial SSU rRNA". It matches the Rfam family "Bacterial small subunit ribosomal RNA", at positions 568 to 898 of the family's 1533-position model. The record is from RNAcentral.
CGCGUAGGUGGUAGUGAAAGUCUAUGGUGGAAUCUUAGGGCUUAACCCUAAAACUGCCUUGGAAACUUCAUUACUUGAGUCAGUGAGGGGAGGGUAGAAUUCCUGGUGUAGCGGUGAAAUGCGUAGAUAUCAGGAGGAAGGCCGGUGGCGAAGGCGGCCCUCUGGCGCUGAACUGACGCUGAGGCGCGAAAGCGUGGGUAGCAAACAGGAUUAGAUACCCUGGUAGUCCACGCCCUAAACGGUGGGUACUAGGUGUAGGGCUCGUAAGGGUUCUGUGCCGAAGGGAAACCAUUAAGUACCCCCGCCUGGGGAGUACGGCCGCAAGGUUGAA